AGAGUUUGAUCCUGGCUCAGAUUGAACGCUGGCGGCACGCUUAACACAUGCAAGUCGAACGGUAACAGUUAUUUUGAAGCUUCGGUGGAAAGAUAAGCUGACGAGUGGCGGAUGGGUGAGUAAUAGGUAGGAAUUUACCUUGAAGAGGGGGACAACCUUAGGAAACUGAGGCUAAAACCGCAUACAGUCUACGGACUAAAGAUGCCUUUUCAGAGGUGUUACUUCAAGAUGAGCCUACGUUGGAUUAGCUAGUUGGUAAGGUAACUGCUUACCAAGGCGACGAUCCAUAGCUGGUUUGAGAGGACGACCAGCCACACUGGGACUGAGACACGGCCCAGACUCCUACGGGAGGCAGCAGUGGGGAAUAUUGGACAAUGGGGGCAACCCUGAUCCAGCGAUGCCGCGUGUGUGAAGAAGGCCUUCGGGUUGUAAAGCACUUUCAUUGGUGAGGAGUCUAAGCUAAGUAAUAUGUAGCGAAAGAGGACGUUAGCCAAAGAAGCAGCACCGGCUAACCCUGUGCCAGCAGCCGCGGUAAUACAGGGGGUGCAAGCGUUAAUCGGAAUGACUGGGCGUAAAAAGCACGUAGGCGGGUUUAUAAGUUAGAUGUGAAAAGCCAUGGCUCAACCAUGGUCUGUCAUCUAAUACUGUAAGCCUAGAAUAUAUUAGAGGUAAGCGGAAUUUCCGGUGUAGCGGUGAAAUGCGUAGAUAUCGGAAGGAACAUCAGUUGCGAAGGCGGCUUACUGGGAUAAAAUUGACGCUGAGGUGCGAAAGCGUGGGUAGCGAACAGGAUUAGAUACCCUGGUAGUCCACGCUGUAAACGAUGAGUACUAGCUGUUUACAAGCGACGACUUGUGAGUAGCGAAGCAAACGCGCUAAGUACUCUGCCUGGGGAGUACGGCCGCAAGGCUAAAACUCAAAGGAAUUGACGGGGGCCCGCACAAGCGGUGGAGCAUGUGGUUUAAUUCGAUGCAACGCGAAAAACCUUACCUACCUUUGACAUCUAACGGAGAUACAAGAGAUUGUAUUGUGCCCGAAAGGGAGCGUUAAGACAGGUGCUGCAUGGCUGUCGUCAGCUCGUGUUGUGAGAUGUUGGGUUAAGUCCCGUAACGAGCGCAACCCUUAUCCUUAGUUGCCAGCAUGUAAUGGUGGGGACUCUAAGGAGACUGCCGGUGAUAAGCCGGAGGAAGGUGGGGACGACGUCAAGUCAUCAUGGCCUUUAUAGGUAGGGCUACACACGUGCUACAAUGGGUGUUACAGAGGGAGGCGAAGCCGCGAGGUGGAGCGAACCUCAGAAAGGCACUCGUAGUCCGGAUUGAAGUCUGCAAUUCGACUUCAUGAAGUUGGAAUCGCUAGUAAUCGCGAAUCAGCAUGUCGCGGUGAAUACGUUCCCGGGCCUUGUACACACCGCCCGUCACACCAUGGAAGUGUUUUAUACCAGAAGUAGAUAGACUAACCUUUUGGAGGUCGUUUACCACGGUAUGGGACAUGACUGGGGUGAAGUCGAAACAAGGUA
Molecule: ribosomal RNA, 1513 nt
Filed under: metagenome
Description: bacterial SSU rRNA
Rfam family: Bacterial small subunit ribosomal RNA
Source: RNAcentral